This is a small nucleolar RNA of Lupinus angustifolius (narrow-leaved blue lupine), 77 nucleotides long. The record is from Rfam. NCBI's taxonomy places the organism in Eukaryota, Viridiplantae, Streptophyta, Magnoliopsida, Fabales, Fabaceae.
ACGAGAUAUGAUGAUGUUUAUCCAUCUAUUCUGCAAUUGAAUGAUGAUCACUAACAUGCACUACCAUCUGAUCUCUU